AACGAACGCUGGCGGCAUGCCUAACACAUGCAAGUCGAACGAGACCUUCGGGUCUAGUGGCGCACGGGUGCGUAACGCGUGGGAACCUGCCUUUAGGUUCGGAAUAACUCAGAGAAAUUUGAGCUAAUACCGGAUGAUGUCUUCGGACCAAAGAUUUAUCGCCUUUGGAUGGGCCCGCGUUGGAUUAGCUAGUUGGUGGGGUAAAGGCCUACCAAGGCGACGAUCCAUAGCUGGUCUGAGAGGAUGAUCAGCCACACUGGGACUGAGACACGGCCCAGACUCCUACGGGAGGAAGCAGUGGGGAAUAAUGGACAAUGGGCGAAAGACUGAUCCAGCAAUGCCGCGGGAGUGAUGAAGGCCUUAGGGUUGUAAAGCUCUUUUACCCGAGAUGAUAAUGACAGUAUCGGGAGAAUAAGCGCCGGCUAACUCCGUG
Molecule: ribosomal RNA, 433 nt
Filed under: uncultured bacterium
Lineage: Bacteria
Description: partial 16S ribosomal RNA
Rfam family: Bacterial small subunit ribosomal RNA
Source: RNAcentral